This 69-nucleotide transfer RNA is filed under the name Odorrana grahami (Yunnanfu frog). Its description in RNAcentral is "tRNA-Glu". It matches the Rfam family "tRNA". From Rfam's summary of the family: Transfer RNA (tRNA) molecules are approximately 80 nucleotides in length. Their secondary structure includes four short double-helical elements and three loops (D, anti-codon, and T loops). RNAcentral also lists the same sequence under 1 other name. Lineage: Eukaryota; Metazoa; Chordata; Amphibia; Anura; Ranidae. The record is from RNAcentral.
GUUUUUAUAGUUGAAUCACAGCGGCAGCUUUUCGAGCUGCAGGCCUAGGUUAGAAUCCUAGUGAAAACA